This 29-nucleotide non-coding RNA is filed under the name Homo sapiens (human). Lineage: Eukaryota; Metazoa; Chordata; Mammalia; Primates; Hominidae. The record is from RNAcentral.
UCCUGGCUACUGGCUUGGGUAGGGGUAGA